GGAUGUGAGGGCGAUCUAGCUGCGACAUCUGUCACCCCAUUGAUCGCCAGCAUUGAUUCGGCUGAUCUGGCUGGCUAGGCAGGUGUCCUCUCCCUCCCUCACCACUCCCAGGUAUAGGAGUGUCCCAGGUAUAGGAGUGUAGUGAGGUUUCCAGUCUUCGGUCCCAGGGAUACAAUAGCUGUGCUCCCCUGCUAGACCCUCCAAAUGAGCUCAUGGACAUGCUGAAUGAAACUCUGCAUUCAUCUCUGGUCCAACUACUACAGAAAUGAUUUAUUAUGAUAAGUGUGU
Anolis carolinensis (green anole) is the source of this 288-nucleotide non-coding RNA. The record is from Rfam. Lineage: Eukaryota; Metazoa; Chordata; Lepidosauria; Squamata; Anolidae.